RNAcentral lists this transfer RNA (100 nucleotides) under Daldinia eschscholtzii. Its description in RNAcentral is "tRNA-Arg". It matches the Rfam family "tRNA". Rfam says of the family: Transfer RNA (tRNA) molecules are approximately 80 nucleotides in length. Their secondary structure includes four short double-helical elements and three loops (D, anti-codon, and T loops). Further hydrogen bonds mediate the characteristic L-shaped molecular structure. tRNAs have two regions of fundamental functional importance: the anti-codon, which is responsible for specific mRNA codon recognition, and the 3' end, to which the tRNAs corresponding amino acid is attached (by aminoacyl-tRNA synthetases). tRNAs cope with the degeneracy of the genetic code in two manners: having more than one tRNA (with a specific anti-codon) for a particular amino acid; and 'wobble' base-pairing, i.e. permitting non-standard base-pairing at the 3rd anti-codon position. Lineage: Eukaryota; Fungi; Ascomycota; Sordariomycetes; Xylariales; Hypoxylaceae. The record is from RNAcentral.
GCCCGGCUAGCUCAAUGGCAGAGCGCUGAACUUCUAUCAUGGCUUUAAUUAUAUGUCCUCGUGAAUUCAGAGGCUGGGGGUUCGAGUCCCCCGUUGGGCU